Molecule: non-coding RNA, 245 nt
Organism: Marchantia polymorpha subsp. ruderalis
Lineage: Eukaryota; Viridiplantae; Streptophyta; Marchantiopsida; Marchantiales; Marchantiaceae
Source: the annotation of a GenBank genome assembly
AAUAUGAGAUAUAAGAUACUUAAUUAUAAAUAAUUUGAAAUACAAGAUUUUCUCACUUUCCAGGUUUCGAAUUGUCAGACAGUGGAACUUCAGCCUUUGGACAUGGAUAUAUGGAAUUUGACAUGUGACUUGAUCUGUAGAAUGAUGAUUUACGAAAGUUCCAAUCUAUGACAAUUCUAGACCUGGAAGAUGAGGAGAUCUUGUUUCUUAAAUGAUCUACAAUUGAAUAUUUUAUAUCUCAUGUU